RNAcentral lists this long non-coding RNA (611 nucleotides) under Mytilus galloprovincialis (Mediterranean mussel). Lineage: Eukaryota; Metazoa; Mollusca; Bivalvia; Mytilida; Mytilidae. The record is from RNAcentral.
UUAUUAUUAUUAUUAUUAUUUUUUUUUUUUUUUUCUUCCGCCUAAAUUUUUUUCUUGCGUAGUAUUGAUGUUUCAAAAGAUGUCGCUUAGAUAUUUGGAAUAUGAUGUCGUAUAGUUUAUACGCUUUAAAAAUUUACAACUGCGUAACAAAAUACUUUACGUUGUAAGAGUUAUCUCCCCAAACACUGUUUUUCUUGUGGCCACUACUCCUUCGCAACCGUAAAAGAUUACGACAAAUUUAUUUUACCAAAUUGCUCGUUAUUCUUCAGGAUUAGAAUAUUCAUUUGGACCGAAGCUAUCCGGAGACUCCAUAUGAGAGUUAUUUCCCCUUAUGCAUUUGAUAUAAGUGAUAUGUGUUUCUUACUGGUAAACCAUCAGUGAUAUAGGCCUAGGGUCUUUAGAUUUAAGGUCCUUGGUCCAAAAAAAUGAAAAUAAGGUCAAGGUCAAAGGUCAAGGUCAUAUUCUAAAUUUUGAUUUUGGCUUAUUUUCUCUUAUUUUCAACAACCGUGAAAGAUAUUCGACAAAUUUUUUUACUAAAUUGUGAGUUGCGACAUGUUGUAACUUAUAAAUUUUGGUUGGAAGGGUGCGUAAACAAUAAAUGAGAGUUUUCG